RNAcentral lists this ribosomal RNA (450 nucleotides) under uncultured Glomus. RNAcentral's name for it is "SSU rRNA". It matches the Rfam family "Eukaryotic small subunit ribosomal RNA", at positions 569 to 1024 of the family's 1831-position model. Lineage: Eukaryota; Fungi; Glomeromycota; Glomeromycetes; Glomerales; Glomeraceae. The record is from RNAcentral.
AGCAGCCGCGGUAAUUCCAGCUCCAAUAGCGUAUAUUAAAGUUGUUGCAGUUAAAAAGCUCGUAGUUGAAUUUCGAGAUCAGUACGCUGGUCGUGCCUUCGGUAUGCACUGGUGUCACUGGUUUCUCCCUUCUGAAGAACCGUCAUGUCAUUAAGUUGGUGUGGCGGGGAAUCAGGACUGUUACUUUGAAAAAUUAGAGUGUUUAAAGCAGGCUCGCGCUUGAAUACAUUAGCAUGGAAUAAUGAAAUAGGACGUUUGACCCUAUUUUGUUGGUUUCUAGGAUCGACGUAAUGAUUAAUAGGGAUAGUUGGGGGCAUUAGUAUUCAAUUGUCAGAGGUGAAACUCUUGGAUUUAUUGAAGACUAACUACUGCGAAAGCAUUUGCCAAGGAUGUUUUCAUUAAUCAAGAACGAAAGUUAGGGGAUCGAAGACGAUCAGAUACCGUCGUAGU